AAAAAGAAAAAGAAAAUGUGGUAUAUAUACACCAUGGAAUAUUACUCAGCCAUAAAAAAGAAUGAAAUGAUAUCUUUUCCAACGACUUGGAUGGAGCUGAAGGCCAUUAUUCUAAGUGAAGUAACUCAAGAAUGGAAAGUCAAAUACCAUCUGUUCUCACUUAGAAGUGGGAGCUAAGCUAUGGGUAUGCAAAGACAUGCCGAGCGAUAUAAUGGGCUAUGGAGACUCAGAAGUGGGAGGGUGGAAGGAGGGGCAAGGGAUUUAAAAAAACUGCAUAUUGGGUACAAUGUAUACUACUCAGGUGAUGGGUGCACUAAAAUCUCAGACUUCACCACUAUACAAUUCAUCCAUGUAACCAAAAAUCACUUGUACCCCUGAAAAUUUAAAAUUUUUUUUUAAAAGAACCAAACUUUCCAACACUUAUUCUGUCUUUCUUAUAAACUUAGUACUGUUUUCACAGCUUCACUAACUUCUAAAAAUUUUCUUCCUGGCAAGUCUUUACUUAUCCUCUUCUACCUGUCCCCACCUCCUGUUUUUCUGAUUUUACUUCCUUAUGCCAAACAGAAUUUUGAUAUAGGUAAUUUGUUAUAAAUUUAAUUAGAUGUUCAC
RNAcentral lists this long non-coding RNA (609 nucleotides) under Homo sapiens (human). RNAcentral describes it as "HSALNT0239167". The record is from RNAcentral. Lineage: Eukaryota; Metazoa; Chordata; Mammalia; Primates; Hominidae.